AGUAACUGCGAGUGAAGUGGGAAAAGCUCAAAUUUAAAAUCUGGCAGCCUUAGGUUGUCCGAGUUGUAACCUAGAGAAGUGCUACCUGCACUGGACCAUGUAUAAGUCUCCUGGAAUGGAGUGUCACAGAGGGUGAGAAUCCCGUCUUUGACAUGGACUUGCCAGUGUGUUGUGGUGCGCUCUCAAAGAGUCGAGUUGUUUGGGAAUGCAGCUCUAAAUGGGUGGUAAAUUCCAUCUAAAGCUAAAUAUUGGCGAGAGACCGAUAGCGAACAAGUACCGUGAGGGAAAGAUGAAAAGAACUUUGGAAAGAGAGUUAAACAGUAUGUGAAAUUGUUGAAAGGGAAACGUUUGAAGUCAGUUGUUGUUAGCUAGGGAUCAGCCUGGCUUUUUUGCUAGGUGUAUUUCCUUGUUAAUAGGUCAACAUCAGUUUUGAUCACUAGAAAAAAGCCAAGGGAAUGUAGCACCUUUUUGGUGUAUUAUAGUUCUUGGUUAUAUGUAGCGAUUGGGACUGAGGCAUGCAGCACACCGAAAGGUUGGGAUAUGGCCACAUUUGUGCUUAGGAUGUUGACAUAAUGGCUUUAAGUGACCCGUCUUGAAACACGGACCAAGGAGUCUAACAUGCCUGCAAGUGUUUGGGUGGAAAACCCAAGCGCGUAAUGAAAGUGAAAGUUGAGAUCCCUGUUAUGGGGAGCAUCGACGCCCAGACCAGAACUUCUGGGACGGAUCUGCGGUAGAGCAUGUAUGUUGGGACCCGAAAGAUGGUGAACUAUGCCUGAAUAGGGUGAAGCCAGAGGAAACUCUGGUGGAGGCUCGUAGCGAUUCUGACGUGCAAAUCGAUCGUCGAAUUUGGGUAU
RNAcentral lists this ribosomal RNA (854 nucleotides) under Amanita sp. HKAS77340. RNAcentral describes it as "eukaryotic LSU rRNA". It matches the Rfam family "Eukaryotic large subunit ribosomal RNA", at positions 82 to 918 of the family's 3401-position model. Lineage: Eukaryota; Fungi; Basidiomycota; Agaricomycetes; Agaricales; Amanitaceae. The record is from RNAcentral.